Molecule: long non-coding RNA, 754 nt
Filed under: Micromonas commoda
Lineage: Eukaryota; Viridiplantae; Chlorophyta; Mamiellophyceae; Mamiellales; Mamiellaceae
Description: long non-coding RNA (MCOM_LNC000221)
Source: RNAcentral
ACGAGCGUUCUUGAUCACAUAUUUCGCCAGAAUAUAGAAAGAAGACCCGGUGCUCCGCGUGGCCCCAGCAUAAGACCGCGGCCUGUCGUCAGGAGCGCGUGAAGGACGAGCUCGCGGAGGCUCGUAAAUCUAGCAGGCCGACAGAUCCCAGAGGACAGAGGACGUUCCGUUAGUGCGACUGGGAAAACCCUUGACUAGAGACGCUCUAGGACCCGGAACCGCGGAGGAUUUCUCGCCACAGGAACGAACGCUGUGCGAGAGAGGUGACAGACGCGGCGGGCGAGUACGUUUCCGAGCGAGGGACGGUGUGACGAGCGAAAGGAUCCGACCUGCCAAGCGGGGACCCGUAAGAAGAGUCCAUAAGACACACGAUGUCCACACUACCUGUCAUGCAGGCAAAGCUGGUGAGAGAUCCAGCGCCACACCGUCGAACGACAGGAAUUGCCGUCUCGGUUUUAUCCCAUGGCGUCACGCGCAUUUUAUUUUUUGUAACUUGCUUCCAGUUUGAAAGUGAUGCUUCCCCACACACCUUCCAGCGAGAACGGUCAACGUUUGCUGAAAUUUUCUGACACGAUCUAUGUCACGUGCAGGUACUCCUCGGCGACAUGGGUGCUGGCAAGUCUUCCUUGGUGCUUCGAUUCGUGAAAGGUCAGUUCUUCGAGUACCAGGAGUCCACCAUCGGCGCAGCGUUCCUCACGCAGACGGUGUCUGUGAGCGACGCAACGGUGAAAUUCGAAAUAUGGGAUACGGCAGG